Molecule: ribosomal RNA, 420 nt
Filed under: Acanthamoeba sp.
Lineage: Eukaryota; Discosea; Longamoebia; Acanthamoebidae
Description: SSU rRNA
Rfam family: Eukaryotic small subunit ribosomal RNA
Source: RNAcentral
CGAAUUCAUUUUCUGCCACCGAAUACAUUAGCAUGGGAUAAUGGAAUAGGACCCUGUCCUCCUAUUUUCAGUUGGUUUUGGCAGCGCGAGGACUAGGGUAAUGAUUAAUAGGGAUAGUUGGGGGCAUUAAUAUUUAAUUGUCAGAGGUGAAAUUCUUGGAUUUAUGAAAGAUUAACUUCUGCGAAAGCAUCUGCCAAGGAUGUUUUCAUUAAUCAAGAACGAAAGUUGGGGAUCGAAGACGAUCAGAUACCGUCGUAGUCUUAACCAUAAACGAUGCCGACCAGCGAUUAGGAGACGUUGAAUACAAAACACCACCAUCGGCGCGGUCGUCCUUGGCGCGUUCGUGUUCACGCACGGGCGCGCGAGGGCGGCUUAGCCCGGUGGCACCGGUGAAUGACUCCCUAGCAGGAGGGGGGGAAG